GAUGAACGCUAGCGGCAGGCUUAAUACAUGCAAGUUGAGGGGCAGCAUGAUAUACGCGAGUAUAUUGAUGGCGACCGGCGGACGGGUGAGUAAUAGGUAGGAGACCUACCUCAUACAGGGGGAUAGCAUAGAGAAAUCUGUGGUAAUACCCCAUGAGGUUAUAUGAAUAGAGGCAUAUAAUCAAAGCAUAAGCGAUUAUGCGGUAUGAGAGGGGCCUACUGACCAUUAGCUAGUUGGUGAGGUAAGGGCUCACCAAGGCGAAGAUGGUUAGGGGUUUUGAGAGAGAGACCCCCCCACAUUGGAACUGAGAGACGGUCCAGACUCCUACGGGAGGCAGCAGUAGGGAAUAUUGGGCAAUGGGCGAAAGCCUGACCCAGCCAUGCCGCGUGAAGGAAGACGGCCUUAAGGGUUGUAAACUUCUUUACUACGCGAAUAGAGGUUAGUACGAGAUACUAAUAGGAAGGUAGUGUAGUAAAAGCACCGGUAACUCCGUG
RNAcentral lists this ribosomal RNA (494 nucleotides) under uncultured bacterium. RNAcentral's name for it is "bacterial SSU rRNA". It matches the Rfam family "Bacterial small subunit ribosomal RNA", at positions 28 to 507 of the family's 1533-position model. The record is from RNAcentral.